Molecule: ribosomal RNA, 590 nt
Filed under: uncultured bacterium
Lineage: Bacteria
Description: bacterial SSU rRNA
Rfam family: Bacterial small subunit ribosomal RNA
Source: RNAcentral
ACGAGGAGCUUGCUCCUCUGAUCAGUGGCGAACGGGUGAGUAACACGUGAGCAACCUGCCCCAGACUCUGGGAUAACAGUUGGAAACAGCUGCUAAUACCGGAUACGAGACGGAGAGGCAUCUCUACCGUCUGGAAAGUUUUUCGGUCUGGGAUGGACUCGCGGCCUAUCAGCUAGUUGGUGAGGUAAUGGCUCACCAAGGCGACGACGGGUAGCCGGCCUGAGAGGGCGACCGGCCACACUGGGACUGAGACACGGCCCAGACUCCUACGGGAGGCAGCAGUGGGGAAUAUUGCACAAUGGGCGAAAGCCUGAUGCAGCGACGCCGCGUGAGGGAUGACGGCCUUCGGGUUGUAAACCUCUUUCAGCAGGGAAGAAGCGAAAGUGACGGUACCUGCAAAAGAAGCACCGGCUAACUACGUGCCAGCAGCCGCGGUAAUACGUAGGGUGCGAGCGUUGUCCGGAAUUAUUGGGCGUAAAGAGCUUGUAGGCGGUUUGUCGCGUCCGCAGUGAAAAUCCGAGGCUCAACCUCGGACUUGCUGUGGGUACGGGCAGACUAGAGUAUGGUAGGGGAGACCGGAAUUCCUGGUG